GAUGAACGCUGGCGGCGUGCCUAAUACAUGCAAGUCGAGCGAACGGACGAGAAGCUUGCUUUUCUGAUGUUAGCGGCGGACGGGUGAGUAACACGUGGAUAACCUACCUAUAAGACUGGGAUAACUUCGGGAAACCGGAGCUAAUACCGGAUAAUAUUUUGAACCGCAUGGUUCAAAAGUGAAAGACGGUCUUGCUGUCACUUAUAGAUGGAUCCGCGCUGCAUUAGCUAGUUGGUAAGGUAACGGCUUACCAAGGCAACGAUGCAUAACCGACCUGAGAGGGUGAUCGGCCACACUGGAACUGAGACACGGUCCAGACUCCUACGGGAGGCAGCAGUAGGGAAUCUUCCGCAAUGGGCGAAAGCCUGACGGAGCAACGCCGCGUGAGUGAUGAAGGUCUUCGGAUCGUAAAACUCUGUUAUUAGGGAAGAACAUAUGUGUAAGUAACUGUGCACAUCUUGACGGUACCUAAUCAGAAAGCCACGGCUAACUACGUGCCAGCAGCCGCGGUAAUACGUAGGUGGCAAGCGUUAUCCGGAAUUAUUGGGCGUAAAGCGCGCGUAGGCGGUUUUUUAAGUCUGAUGUGAAAGCCCACGGCUCAACCGUGGAGGGUCAUUGGAAACUGGAAAACUUGAGUGCAGAAGAGGAAAGUGGAAUUCCAUGUGUAGCGGUGAAAUGCGCAGAGAUGUGGAGGAACACCAGUGGCGAAGGCGACUUUCUGGUCUGUAACUGACGCUGAUGUGCGAAAGCGUGGGGAUCAAACAGGAUUAGAUACCCUGGUAGUCCACGCCGUAAACGAUGAGUGCUAAGUGUUAGGGGGUUUCCGCCCCUUAGUGCUGCAGCUAACGCAUUAAGCACUCCGCCUGGGGAGUACGACCGCAAGGUUGAAACUCAAAGGAAUUGACGGGGGCCCGCACAAGCGGUGGAGCAUGUGGUUUAAUUCGAAGCAACGCGAAGAACCUUACCAAAUCUUGACAUCCUUUGACAACUCUAGAGAUAGAGCCUUCCCCUUCGGGGGACAAAGUGACAGGUGGUGCAUGGUUGUCGUCAGCUCGUGUCGUGAGAUGUUGGGUUAAGUCCCGCAACGAGCGCAACCCUUAAGCUUAGUUGCCAUCAUUAAGUUGGGCACUCUAAGUUGACUGCCGGUGACAAACCGGAGGAAGGUGGGGAUGACGUCAAAUCAUCAUGCCCCUUAUGAUUUGGGCUACACACGUGCUACAAUGGACAAUACAAAGGGCAGCGAAACCGCGAGGUCAAGCAAAUCCCAUAAAGUUGUUCUCAGUUCGGAUUGUAGUCUGCAACUCGACUACAUGAAGCUGGAAUCGCUAGUAAUCGUAGAUCAGCAUGCUACGGUGAAUACGUUCCCGGGUCU
Molecule: ribosomal RNA, 1372 nt
Filed under: uncultured bacterium
Lineage: Bacteria
Description: bacterial SSU rRNA
Rfam family: Bacterial small subunit ribosomal RNA
Source: RNAcentral